RNAcentral lists this ribosomal RNA (1405 nucleotides) under metagenome. RNAcentral's name for it is "bacterial SSU rRNA". It matches the Rfam family "Bacterial small subunit ribosomal RNA". The record is from RNAcentral.
GCGAGUGGCGAACGGGUGAGUAAUGUAUCGGAACGUACCUUUCAGUGGGGGAUAACGUAGCGAAAGUUACGCUAAUACCGCAUGUUCUGUGAGCAGGAAAGCAGGGGAUCGCAAGACCUUGCGCUGAUUGAGCGGCCGAUAUCAGAUUAGCUAGUUGGUGAGGUAAAGGCUCACCAAGGCGACGAUCUGUAGCGGGUCUGAGAGGAUGAUCCGCCACACUGGAACUGAGACACGGUCCAGACUCCUACGGGAGGCAGCAGUGGGGAAUUUUGGACAAUGGGGGCAACCCUGAUCCAGCCAUGCCGCGUGAGUGAAGAAGGCCUUCGGGUUGUAAAGCUCUUUCGGCCGGGAAGAAAUCGCAUGGGUUAAUACCCUGUGCGGAUGACGGUACCGGCAUAAGAAGCACCGGCUAACUACGUGCCAGCAGCCGCGGUAAUACGUAGGGUGCGAGCGUUAAUCGGAAUUACUGGGCGUAAAGCGUGCGCAGGCGGUUUUUUAAGACAGGCGUGAAAUCCCCGGGCUCAACCUGGGAACUGCGCUUGUGACUGGAAGGCUAGAGUAUGGCAGAGGGGGGUGGAAUUCCACGUGUAGCAGUGAAAUGCGUAGAGAUGUGGAGGAACACCAAUGGCGAAGGCAGCCCCCUGGGCCAAUACUGACGCUCAUGCACGAAAGCGUGGGUAGCAAACAGGAUUAGAUACCCUGGUAGUCCACGCCCUAAACGAUGUCAACUAGGUGUUGGGUGGGUAAAACCAUUUAGUACCGGAGCUAACGCGUGAAGUUGACCGCCUGGGGAGUACGGCCGCAAGGUUAAAACUCAAAGGAAUUGACGGGGACCCGCACAAGCGGUGGAUGAUGUGGAUUAAUUCGAUGCAACGCGAAAGACCUUACCUACCCUUGACAUGUCCAGGAGCCUGGAGAGAUUUGGGUGUGCCCGAAAGGGGACUGGAACACAGGUGCUGCAUGGCUGUCGUCAGCUCGUGUCGUGAGAUGUUGGGUUAAGUCCCGCAACGAGCGCAACCCUUGUCGUUAAUUGCCAUCAUUUAGUUGGGCACUUUAACGAGACUGCCGGUGACAAACCGGAGGAAGGUGGGGAUGACGUCAAGUCCUCAUGGCCCUUAUGGGUAGGGCUUCACACGUCAUACAAUGGUCGGUACAAAGGGUUGCCAAGCCGCGAGGUGGAGCCAAUCCCAGAAAGCCGAUCGUAGUCCGGAUCGCAGGCUGCAACUCGCCUGCGUGAAGUCGGAAUCGCUAGUAAUCGUGGAUCAGCAUGUCACGGUGAAUACGUUCCCGGGUCUUGUACACACCGCCCGUCACACCAUGGGAGCGGGUUCCGCCAGAAGUAGGUAGCCUAACCGCAAGGAGGGCGCUUACCACGGCGGGGUUCGUGACUGGGGUGAAGUCGGAA